UACAUAUGUGGCGAGCGUUGUUCGGAAUUACUGGGCUUAAAGAGUUCGUAGGCGGGGUUGUAAGUCGGAUGUGAAAUCCCUCGGCUUACCCGAGGAACUGCAUCCGAUACUGCAACUCUGGAGUCCCUGAGGGGAGGGUGGAAUUCCAGGUGUAGCGGUGAAAUGCGUAGAUAUCUGGGAGAAGGCCAAUGGCGAAGGCAGCCCUCUGGUAGGAGACUGACGCUGAGGAACGAAAGCUAGGGUAUCAAACGGG
This 253-nucleotide ribosomal RNA is filed under the name uncultured bacterium. RNAcentral's name for it is "partial 16S ribosomal RNA". It matches the Rfam family "Bacterial small subunit ribosomal RNA", at positions 524 to 776 of the family's 1533-position model. The record is from RNAcentral.